UACGUAGGGACCAAGCGUUGUUCGGAUUUACUGGGCGUAAAGGGCGCGUAGGCGGCGCGGUAAGUCACUUGUGAAAUCUCUGAGCUUAACUCAGAACGGCCAAGUGAUACUGCAGUGCUAGAGUGUGGAAGGGGCAAUCGGAAUUCUUGGUGUAGCGGUGAAAUUCGUAGAUAUCAAGAGGAACACCUGAGGUGAAGACGGGUUGCUGGGCCAACACUGACGCUGAGGCGCGAAAGCCAGGGGAGCAAACGGG
This 253-nucleotide ribosomal RNA is filed under the name uncultured bacterium. RNAcentral describes it as "partial 16S ribosomal RNA". It matches the Rfam family "Bacterial small subunit ribosomal RNA", at positions 524 to 776 of the family's 1533-position model. The record is from RNAcentral.